Molecule: long non-coding RNA, 798 nt
Organism: Centropristis striata (black sea bass)
Lineage: Eukaryota; Metazoa; Chordata; Actinopteri; Perciformes; Serranidae
Exons: 3
Source: RefSeq, a predicted model, not a curated record
UUUCUCUGUGAAGAAGAGCUUUGCCUCCACUCGUUGCUGUCACGGUAACGAGGUUUGGAAGACUCUAGUUCUUGUUGUGGGAGUUUCGCCUGGAUCAGAGAUGUAUUCUUUUAUAAAGCAAAAUUGUCAAAAACGUUAAUAAUAAGACAAUAACCAAGUCCAUACUUUCUAUCUCCCUCCCAGAGCAGAUCUCCUCGUUCCCCUCAGAGGAGAAUGACUCAGCAGGAGUCAUGCUAUCCUCUCUCCCCGAGUCUUUGUCCACCAGCCAGACGAGUCAACAAGUCAAACUCCUGCUGUGUUUUCCUCAGAUAUAAACCCUGGUGGCUCUAUCAGGACCUGGAGGACAGGAUGUCCUGACCUGGACCUGUUUAUAGGUGUUCCUACAGGAUCUGGUUCCCUGCAGAGCUCUCUGGCCGAGGCUCCAUGCCUCCCUGCCAAUCAGGUUCUUCUCAUCCUGGUCCAGACAGAGACCAGAGCCAAUCAGAGUCCAGAUUCAUUUCCUGAGAGGAAACGGUGGCCGCAACAAGGACGAGAGAACCGUUUGAGGCUUAAAACUCCGUCUCCAGAGACUCUUUUACCUUCGUCUGGUGGCUGAAGACGCUCCUCCAGACUCUGUUCCUCCUCCAGGAGACCCGAGGAACUCCUCCAGCAGACUCUGUUCCUCCUCCAGGAGACCUGAGGAGCUCCGAGUCACAUCUCUGAGGUUCAGCAUCAGAUGAGGCUGUUUGCAGUGUGUCGUCUGUCCUGAUGCCUGAAGGACCACACAGGAGGUGAGACGCCUCCUCCUGCUGCUGGAUG